UGAUGGCUAUAUUUGAGGCAAUGAAAAACAGAAUUGCAAAUACUUGGUGGUGGUCUAACUUACGUACAAACUUCGUGAGCUAAAUUGCCAUUAUAUAAAAAUAUAAGAAAAAGGCUUGUC
Molecule: non-coding RNA, 120 nt
Organism: Zunongwangia profunda SM-A87
Lineage: Bacteria; Pseudomonadati; Bacteroidota; Flavobacteriia; Flavobacteriales; Flavobacteriaceae
Source: Rfam